UCGCCAUUUAAAGUGGUACGCGAGCUGGGUUCAGAACGUCGUGAGACAGUUCGGUCCCUAUCUGCCGUGGGCGUUGGAUGAUUGAAGGGAGUUGCUCCUAGUACGAGAGGACCGGAGUGAACGAACCUCUGGUGUUCGGGUUGUCACGCCAGUGGCACUGCCCGGUAGCUAAGUUCGGAAUCGAUAACCGCUGAAAGCAUCUAAGCGGGAAGCGAGCCCUGAGAUGAGUCAUCCCUGACCCCUUGAGGGUCCUAAAGGGCCGUUGGAGACCACAACGUUGAUAGGUGGGGUGUGUAAGUGCAGUGAUGUGUUGAGCUAACCCAUACUAAUUACCCGUGAGGCUUAACCAUACAACACCCAAGAAGUGUUCUG
RNAcentral lists this ribosomal RNA (372 nucleotides) under Aeromonas salmonicida subsp. salmonicida. RNAcentral describes it as "bacterial LSU rRNA". It matches the Rfam family "Bacterial large subunit ribosomal RNA", at positions 2581 to 2925 of the family's 2925-position model. The record is from RNAcentral. Lineage: Bacteria; Pseudomonadati; Pseudomonadota; Gammaproteobacteria; Aeromonadales; Aeromonadaceae.